UGGGGAAUAUUGCACAAUGGGCGCAAGCCUGAUGCAGCCAUGCCGCGUGUGUGAAGAAGGCCCUCGGGUUGUAAAGCACUUUCAGCGGGGAGGAAGGCGAUAAGGUUAAUAACCUUGUCGAUUGACGUUACCCGCAGAAGAAGCACCGGCUAACUCCGUGCCAGCAGCCGCGGUAAUACGGAGGGUGCAAGCGUUAAUCGGAAUUACUGGGCGUAAAGCGCACGCAGGCGGUCUGUCAAGUCGGAUGUGAAAUCCCCGGGCUUAACCUGGGAACUGCAUUCGAAACUGGCAGGCUAGAGUCUUGUAGAGGGGGGUAGAAUUCCAGGUGUAGCGGUGAAAUGCGUAGAGAUCUGGAGGAAUACCGGUGGCGAAGGCGGCCCCCUGGACGAAGACUGACGCUCAGGUGCGAAAGCGUGGGGAGCAAACAGG
RNAcentral lists this ribosomal RNA (429 nucleotides) under Chloroflexota bacterium. RNAcentral describes it as "Chloroflexi bacterium partial 16S ribosomal RNA". It matches the Rfam family "Bacterial small subunit ribosomal RNA", at positions 355 to 776 of the family's 1533-position model. Lineage: Bacteria; Bacillati; Chloroflexota. The record is from RNAcentral.